CAACGAGAGCAGCAGCAGCAGCGGUUAUUACAGCAGCAGAACACAGAGGAACUCGGCACACGUCGCGUGCGGCAUUUUUUCUUUGUGCGUCGGUGUUAGUAUUUCAGUUGGAGUGAGAUUUCGCGAGUGUCGUUCGGUUCGCCGGCCGACGUCGGCCGUCUGCGAUUACACCUCCCGCGAAAAAAUGUUCGCGUUAUUUGUGAUUAAUUAUCGUACGACGAUCGAAUUAAUAACCCUCGAAUCCACUUUUCCAUGAAUAAACAAUUCAAUUUAUACCCCGCGUACCGGCUACGUGCACAUUUCGAAAAAUCAAUUCCUAUACGGGCAAAAAAAAUCAUCUAUCUUCGCGAACUUGACGAGAUAAAAUUUUUCAUCCAAACGGAUUCUCGCCGAUCGUAGAAGGAGAGAAAAAUCAGAAAAAAAAGAGAAAAAGAGAGAGAGUGAGAGGGGAGGAGAAAAAGAGAGACGGUAAAAAAAAAAAAAAAAAUAGAAAGAGAGAGAGAUACCCGUUUCGUUGUGUGCCGUAUUUUUUGCCAGUUCGCGUGCUGCUGCUUGCUGCUGCUGCUCUUAUAAGCUCUGUUGCCGAGUGGUCCGUACGCCGGAAAUACAGAGUACUGUUUAAAGGGAGGAAUAUCGUACGUGUUGUUUGUUAAAUAAUUUUUUAAACACCGCUUGAAUACGGUAACUGAGCGGGGCAGGGUGAAAAAAAAAAGAAAAAAAAAAAAAAAAAAAAAAUUAAAUAAAUAACUGAAUAAAAUAAAUAUACCGCGGAAAGAGUAAGAAAAUGAAAUACUUAGGAGCGCAAAAAAUAAGAACGAAGAGAGGUCUGGGCUACCGACGACGAGGGCACUGAUCUCUCAGGGAGCGGCGACCUGCGAACCAACCAUAGAUAUAGGAUAUCCUCUCCUCGAUCGCUACGCAGACUGGCGAUUCCGCUGGCUCUCUGGCUCUCUGCAGGCUGGAGUCUGGGACAAGGAUUCUUCUCUUCUCUUCUCUUCUCUUCUCUACUCUACUCUUCACAAUCGCAAAUCGCAAUCAGAUAUACAUAUAUAUAUACAUAUAUAUACAUUUAUAUAUAUAUAUAUAUAUAGAGACACACGCAUGGUAUAUAAACGGCGUACAUACUGCAUCGUCAACUUACGCUGUCACCUCAACGGUCUUCGAACAGAGAUCAUCGGCGUUUUUCUAAAGAGGGUUCACCGCACGCCGAGCAGAUAUCUACUCUCAAUGGUGCACGCGUACGUGCCAUAUUAUGUAUAAGAAAUUACAUAGACCUGUGUGUACAUGUGAAUAUGGACGAUGUGGAAUUGGGGGACGAAAAAAAGCCCGCGACAGCGAGAAUAUUUUAUCUUCUUCUUCUUCUUCUUCUUAGAGAACUAUAAGUGAGAAGAGCUUAAAAAUUUUGACGAGUUACAUAGCUGCAGAAAAAUACUGCCAAUGUUCAACACGCACUAUCUCAGCUGCAGUUACUUGAUGACACUAACCCGUAGAUCCGAACUUGUGGGCUAUUUUAUUUGCACACCGCAAGCUCCUAUCUACCGGUACAUGUAGUCAGGCCGUCGAUUUGGUUGUUAUAUACGCAACUUGCAGUUAUGCGCCUGCAAAAUAUCGAACCGAGGACAACGAAAUUUUUGUGCGGACCGUCGACGACGACCUCGUGAAUUUCCACUCACCUCUAUCCUACGUUGGAUGCGCCCCAUAUUUAUGUCAACGAAUUUUUUAUGGUCUUUUUUUCGUUUGGUUUAAAAAUUUGUUAAUUCGUUUUUUUUUUUAUUCUUUUCGUUUUUCCAAAUUUGGCGUUGUACAUUCGCCGAUGCGACGCAGUUUCUUUUUGUGACAAAAAAAAAAAUAAAAAAAAAAAAAAAUUCAUUCCACUGAUAUUUGGAGAUUAAUUGAAACGGAACAAUAAGAAAGAGUAAGAAAACGAAAAAAUUUAAUUCAAAAUGUAGCGAUGGAAUGAAAUUUGAGUUUUCUUGCGGCGGCGCCUGGGUGAGGUAGUAGGUUGUAUAGUAGGGAAUGAAAAUUCGAGAAUACGAAGUCCACUGUACAGCUUGCUAACUUUCCCGGUCGCCGGCGCCCCGACGCUGGACCAUGGCUGAACCCAUCGUUAAAUUCGUGCUCCGGAGAUCAGCGGCAACGCGCGGGAAACGGCGAGGAAAGGGAGAGAAAGGAGGUGCGGUCAACUAGGAACGGAAGAAGGCGGAUUGAACACGAAGAGAGAAGGGAAAAUUAUGGUGGAACCGAUGGUGGAAAUAAGGAAAACUGAAGGCAUGGCGGGCGGGCGUGUAUAGCCUGCCGCGUCACCGAUUCCCUGAGACCCUAACUUGUGACGUCGCAUCCGAUAUCUCACAGGCUAGAUUCUCUGGUAUUGGCGAUGAGUACUGCCUUUGCCAGUUAAUUGUUGAAGGAAAUUAUACUCUUUCGUUAUAUUCUUGCAUUGUAUAAUCGACGAGGAAAACUUGUCCGUCUGUUCUUUUUCUUUUCUAUUUUUUUGUUUCAACCGUAUACCACCAUUCGUUAGACCGUUAAAUUUUCUAUCGGAUCUGUAGCUCAGCUCUUUUACAUUUGAUUUUAUUAAAAAAAAAUUUAUUCAUUUUGAUUUUUUUAUUAUUAUUUUUAGCGUUUUGGCUGUAUACAAUCUCUUGUAUGCGUAUCACUAUAUUUUACAUAUAUUAUUAAAAAUAAUUGGGAUUAGUCAUUCUUGCAAUAUUUGGUAGAAUUUUGUUUAUACAUAUCUACAUCCCGUCGAUAUAAAAAAAUACAGAGUUUCCAUGUUGUCAAACCUUAACGAUGUAGUAUAAUCUAAAAAUUAUUAUUAUAUAACCAUUCGUUUUAUUUACUAAAAUUAAACAAUUAGUAUCAACAAAUAAUCUCUAACAUAGGCACGAUUUUAAAAUUCUUAUAGGUCCCAGAAAAACUGUAUAAUGUAAUAUUAUUUUUUUAAAUCUUGACUCUUAUAGAAAAUAAAGCUUAUUUCAAAGA
This is a long non-coding RNA of Athalia rosae (coleseed sawfly), 2982 nucleotides long. RefSeq lists it as uncharacterized. NCBI's taxonomy places the organism in Eukaryota, Metazoa, Arthropoda, Insecta, Hymenoptera, Athaliidae. The transcript has 3 exons. The record is from RefSeq and is a predicted model, not a curated record.